This 57-nucleotide ribosomal RNA is filed under the name Caminicella sporogenes DSM 14501. RNAcentral describes it as "16S rRNA. Bacterial SSU". Lineage: Bacteria; Bacillati; Bacillota; Clostridia; Peptostreptococcales; Caminicellaceae. The record is from RNAcentral.
CUGGCUCAGGAUGAACGCUGGCGGCGUGCCUAACACAUGCAAGUCGAGCGGAGCUUU